UGGCACAAGAAGGGAGCCCUCAAAUGGUCCCUCUUAACCCCCUUGGGAUUUUUUUUUUGUUCUGUUUUUCUUGGCUACGCCUGUGGCAGGCAAAAGUUCCUGGGCCAGGGAUUGAACCAGUACCACGGCAGUGGCAAUGCCAAAUUAUUAACCACUAGGCUGCCAGGAAACUCCUUGAUCCCCUUGCCUAAUACCCUAAGUUCUUGGGAAAUAAUAUUUAUGUUCCUAUGUGGAUCAGAUUCCAACUCAGGUCUAUAAAGCUGUGGCCACAGUAGAGGAAUUAGAUAGUUUAAUAUGGCUGUUCCUAAAUGUGUUUGUAUGUGUGGUGUGUGUGUGUGUGUGUGAGACAGAGAGAGAGAGUAUGGAAAGUCCUCAGAGAAAAUGGUCUGAAUUUUUCAGGCUUUCACACAGGUCUUUUUCCACCUAAGCUGUCGCUGAUGUGUCAGGAAUACAGAAAAAGCAAAGGAUGGACCUUAGACUGUGUGUGCGUGUGUGUGUGUGUGUGUGUGCACGUACACGUGCUUAUGAUGUUAUCAUUAUAUCCCCUGCCGUAUUUUUUCAUGUUAAAUUCUCUUCAAAGCUCAAAUUAAAAACAUGAAAUCCUGGAUUAACUUAUCAUCACCACUAUCAUCAUCAUCUAAUAUAAGUGACACACAGUAAACUACAUAUAUUUAAAGCAUGUAAUUCAAAAAAAUUUGACAUAUGUAUACACCUAUGGGACCAGUCCUAUGAUCAAAGGUAUUGAACACAGUCAUUCCUAAAAGUUUCCUCACACCUCUUAGCGAUCCAUCAUUGUAGCCACUCUCUCCCCCCCAAACAACUACUGGUCUACUUUCUAUCAUCAUGAAUUCAUCUGCAUUUUCUAAAUUUUAUAUAUGUGGAACAAUUAAUACAUACUUUUUUGGUCUGGCUUCCUUUACUCAACAUAAUUAUUUUGAGAUUCAUCUUUUUCUUGGCCCUGCCCACAGCAUGUGGAAGUUCCCUGGCCAGGCAUCGAACCCCCCCACCACAGCAGCCACCUGAGUCACUGAAGGGACAACACUGGAUCCUUAACCCCACUGAGCCACACAGCAACUUCCUAAGAUUCAUCUUCAUUGUUAUUCCAUCAAGGUGCUUACUUAAACAUUUUCUUUGAAAAGAUUUGCAGAAUUCACCAGAAUCAAAGUUCACACCAGCUACCCAUAAAGGUAUGAAAAAUAGAUCUCAGCAAAAUUUGAAAUAAUCACUUUACUCAUUUUUCUUCAAAUCACCAGAGCUUUUUAUGCUGUGUUUAUGCAAAUGAUUAACAAAGAAAAUGGAUUGUAACAAUUUCUAAGCAGUGUCCCAUAACUGCAUUUCUGCUGCUCAGUGAGACAGCCACCAGUAGGUCUGAGGACCCAGAGGGGGCAAGGGAAGCCUCAGGGAAAAGCAGGAAGAGCACAGGUCUUUGAGUUCUAACCCAGCUGUGUGACCCGGAGAAAGUCAUUUCCUGUCUCUGAGACUCAGUUUCCUUAUUCAUUAAAUAGGAAAAUUGGACAGUGGUGUCUCAGCCUUAGGAUUCACAGAAUCUCAAAGUUUGACCGUGUUAUCACGUGAGCUGUCUUCCCUUGGCAAUGCUGAAUCUCAGGCAGAUCAAAUCCACUGCCAAGCCUAGGCCACUCUUCCUCUUCACCUCCUAACAGGGAAUUCACGCUGCCUAGUGGAGGCAGACUUCUUUCCAAUUACCGUGCAACUCCCAGAGGUUUCCUCUUUCAAGAGCCUUUUGCUGACAAAUUCAACCUAUCCAGCAGGCUGCAGUUCCUGGCUUGGAGCCUGUCGUUGGCACAGAAAGAAGAGCCCUCUCCUGGCACAUCUCAGAUUGAUGCUACUUCUGACUCUGGCACAAAGGCUACCACUCCAACUAUUUCUGCAAAGCGCACAGCCCUGGAGCCAGCUUCCUCUACUUCUGGUCCUUCUGAGGGGCCCCUCUCUAUUCUCCUGAGAUUCAGCAGGGCAGCAAGAGCCAGGGUGUGCAGAGAGGAGGACAAGGAAAGGAAGGCAUGGAGCCCAAGAGGCAGGCUGGAUGGAGGAAGCCCUGAAGGAGUGUGCUCACAGCAGAAAUGGAGAGAGACAGAAGCCAUAGCACCUUCAUGCUUCGUAGAUGCCUAAGGACCACCUCAUCCCACUCAGCAUAUUAGAGCAUUUGCCCAUCCGCUCAGCAACUUGCUGCUCUAUCUCACUGAAGCUUCUCAGCAGCCUGAGAAAGUAGGCAAGACCAGUUAUUAUGGCCCCAACCUCCACCCAUUUUACAGAGAGAGAAACCAAUGUUCAGAGUGAUGCAGUGACUUCUCCCAGAACAGAAAAUCAGGCAGCUCGACCCCUGCCUCUUCAGCCUUCGAGCCCUGGAGCCUAUACUCCAGAGACAUUUAUUGAGCAUUUUUCAAGGGUAAGAUACCUUUUUUCUGGCCGCGCCCGCAGCAUGGGGAAGUUCCUGGGCCAGAGAUGGAACCUAAGCCACAGCUGUAAACAGAGCUACUGCAGUGACAACACUGGAUUUUUAACAUGCUGAGCCAUGACAGAACUACUCAAGUGCAAGAUCCUUGAGGGAAUCAAAGAUUUCUAAGAUAUGAUCCCUUCUUUUGGAUAACUUUUUACCAGGUGGAGAAAGCAAUUGCUUCAGUAGAAGGCAGAGGGUAAAGUCACUGCAGGAGGCACCCAAAGAAGUGCUGUAGGUAUGAGAAGGGGAAGCAAGGAAAAUCUUGCUUCUCCUUUGACCCUGGGUUCAAAGACAAAUAAGUCCCAACACCAAACAAACCUUCCAUGGAAGAGAGACAACUGGAAUUUCUCUUCUUAUUUUGAGUAGUGAUCACAAGGAAUAGAAAAAAGAAAUAAGCAAAAGAUAUUUCAAGGGAGGAAAUGCUUUGGGGCCUUUGUCCAAAAAAUAUCUCUUCACACUAACUUUCUUUUAUUAAUGCAUUCAUUUAAUGCAAACCAUUUAAUGCAUCUCAGUUGAAAGGGAGAAAGAAAAAAAGACACCGGAUGACUGACUUUGGGUUUGGUGUCCAAAAAAGGUUAACUUUCAUUAAAUCUGCAGUGGGAAUAAGUUCACUGAAUGAGGAUGGAUAUUACUUUUUACCUUACCCUGUUCUCUGUGUUUGACAUUUUUCCAUGAGGAUGUGUUACUCUUAUGACAAAAGAGAAAUUCAUGUUUUCCUCUCCACCUCUUUCAGCUUAUUUUGCAGUAGGCUUAUUAUCUCUCACCUGCAGUCAUAACCCUUUCAUAACAACUUGUAACAAAAGAGCUGCUGUUUUACAGAGCUUUUGCUAUAUGUAGGGUAGAGGCUAAAUUCUCUAAAUAUCUUCCUCGUUCCUCAGGACGAUGCUCAAAGUGGGUAUUAGUGCCCUCUUUUUAUAGAUGAGGAAACUGAGCCUUAGAGAGAUUAAGUAAUUUGCUCAAACUCACAAAGCUCAGAAACAGUGGAGCCUGGCUUAGAAUCCAGGCAGAACUUGCAAUGGUCCUAACUGGAAGAACCUCGACCAUUCUCUGCUGCCAGUUAUCUUCUUACACCAGAUGUGAUGACAUCACUCCUUUGCUUAAAAUCUGUGAGUUCUUACCCCCACCCUUCCACUGCCUAAAGAACACAACUUAAGCUUCUUAGAACAUCAUUCCCAAGACCAGUUCUCAAUGCAUUCAUCCAUGUGCUCAUUGUAAGUCAACAAAUAACAGCAAGCCCUAACAUUUGUUUCAAAGCAAUUUUUCAUGCAGUCUCCCCAUAUCCCUGUGACAAAGGCAGAAGAGCAAACACUUCUAAGCAGCUUCAAUAGCUUGUAGAGUAUCAGGACAAUAUGCCUUGACAUUCCUUCCUUGUCCAGCCGGUUCUCGAAACUUCCCACCAUGUUUUUGGCAUAUCCUGUUAUUCUAUCCCUUUCUGAUUUGCAGUGCUGUUUCUUCUAGGCCUGCCCUGCACCCUGCCCAGUGAAUGCUUACAAAUCCUUUGUAAUUUCUAGUUUUCAAAUGACCUGCCUUUUAGGGGCUCCCUUAACAACCUGUUGACAUGCCCCAUUUCUGUACUAACUGCACUAGAUUAGAUGCAUUUGCUUGCCUGAUCCGCUUUCCCAGUAGACUGUGACCUUCUCUACAACAGAGGGUUGUGAACAUGGCCUUAGGAAGCUGGGAUGGACUAGUGAUGGAGGAUAGAAUGAAUGAAGACCAAUAUGAUAAGUGGCAAAUCUUUGUUUCUAUUGCUCCUAGGAUUCAUGCAACACUGAAUCAAUACUUAUCAAGAAUGAAGCAUUGUACUAGGGCAGAGAUAAAUACUGAAAUGGUAGUGUGUGUGGGGGUAUUUAGAGAAAGAGGAGAAGGAUAUAUAUUUUUCCUUAUAUUCUUAUAAAUAUGGUGAGUAUAUCACAGAGUGUCCCUUUCUAUACACACAUAAUACAUAUACAUGCAUGUAUAUACAUGGUGUAUAUAUAUUAUGGGUACAUAUAUACAUGUAUAGUGUGUAUAAGCUAUGUUUGUACAUAUGUAGUGUUCAUACAUAUAUUGUGUAUGUUCAUAUACAAAUAUAUAGUAUGCAAAUGCAUGUCUGUGUACAUAUAACAGUGUGUGGACAUAUAGUUUUGUGUGGUAGGUACAUACAGAGUGUAUAUACAGUGUGUAUACAUGUGUUGUGUAUAUAUGCACAUACAUAUGGCCUGGCAUGUAUGUGAUGCCUCUGUGUGCACCAGAAUGCAAUCUGAGCAGAGAUCUGGAGGGUGCACCAGAAGAUGGUAGGAAAGAUAGCCAUUACAAGAAACACAGAUAUUUUUUAAUAAAAUGAAAAACACCUUGAGGCUUGCCUCCCUGCUAAGGAAAGAGUGGAGCGCCUGAAGGAAGAAGAAACAACUAGAGAUUUAGGAAGGAAAACAGCUUAGAGAAACCUCACUCAAAUCAGCAAGAACCACAUUCUAAGAGGCUGGUGAGCCGAAACAGAUACCUUAAAAAUCAAAGCCAAGGAGGAGUUUCCACUGUGGUGCAGUGGCUUAAGGAUCCAACUGCAGCAACUUGGGUUGCUGUGGAGGCAAGGGUUGAUCCUCAGCCUGGCGCAGUGUGCUAAACUAUCUGGGUUUCCACAGCUGUGGCAUAGGUUGCAGGUGCAUCUCAGAUUCAACUCCUGGCCCAGGAACUUGCAUAUGCUGAAGGUGUGGC
Molecule: long non-coding RNA, 5146 nt
Filed under: Sus scrofa (pig)
Lineage: Eukaryota; Metazoa; Chordata; Mammalia; Artiodactyla; Suidae
Description: lncRNA (ENSSSCG00050031458.1)
Source: RNAcentral